UUUUGCUUUGGGUUUUCCCUCCUAUAAAUGUUUUAAAAGGUAGAAACAGAAAGUUUUUUGAAGAAAUACCUUUAAAAUACAUCGUGAAUUUUGAGGAAAAAUCAACAAACAAAGCCUGACUGCACCAGCUUUUCUUUAAAAAAACAAAAAAGGUCUAAGUAUUUUUCGGUUUGUAAAAGUUACCCCAGGAGUUUGGUUUUCUUUGUUAACAGUCUUUUCUCUGUUUGUAAAUAAUAAGUCUCAACUAAGUCUUCAGUCCUGAGACAUACCCCUCCCCUCUACCUUUCACUUAAACUUUUUAUAUUUCUAAUUUUGGAUUUCUUUCAGGAUCCAGGCAGUUGAGACAGGAUACUCCAAAUAAGGAACCUAACCCACCCAUCCUGACCACAAGUAACCCUUUGAAGGGUUCCUGCCAGGUUCCAUCUUUUUCAAAAUCCUUAUGUCUUAGAAGAAGAGAUGAGACUUCCUCUAUUUACAUGUUUCCUUUUUUUGCAUAGUCACCACAUACCGACGAGAUGAAGCUUCAAGAAGGCAGGCAAGGGACACAGGAAGUGGGAGCCCUUCCCCAGGCGCCUCCCCCCCCCCCCCCGCGCCCAGCCUCGACCGGAAGGACCUCGGAUGUCGGUCACCGUUACCGUGUGACUCCUUUAGGAGUCUUUGUUCUUUUGUAUAUAUUGUACCCUUUUGAAUAAAGACUUCAGUUAGCCUCUUACACAGCACCUGAUGAAGCCUCUGGCUGAAAGCGCUAGUGCUUUGAGUUAACUGUUAAUUUUAAGGAUUUACAUGGUGUCUUUGAAAAGGGUCCUGCUGGAAGAUCCUGUGGGGUACCAAACUGUCCUCGGAGCUUUUCCUGGUAGCCUCUGGUGGACAGCACUCUCACCCCUC
Molecule: long non-coding RNA, 885 nt
Filed under: Penaeus monodon (black tiger shrimp)
Lineage: Eukaryota; Metazoa; Arthropoda; Malacostraca; Decapoda; Penaeidae
Description: uncharacterized LOC119569436
Source: RNAcentral